GGGAUGCUUUGAAUUUGGGUUAAAACAGAUUGAUUUUGGGUGUAAAUACUCUUUUUAGAAAUGUUUUUAGAUUCCAGUAGUAUCCUGCCAAGAGACAAAAGUGUUGUGACUUCAUGCGAUGUGUCUAGAUGCAAAUUGCUUUAUUCAACAAGGUAUAACAAAAAAAAAUUUGAGUGUAUCCAUUUCUGGGCUUGAUUUCAGAAAGGGUCAUUUAGUUCCCAGAAACGUUGGCAUGAUUUAUCUUAUUCAUUUAGGGAGUUCUGGCAGCAAUUUACACACAGAGAGUGGCGACCAUAAAGGUUUGAAAAUACCUUGUAUUUCUGUGUAUAAAAUGCCCCCAUAUAUAAGAUGACCCCUAUUUUGUUAGCCCAAAAUUAAGAAAUACAUAUUUUAAACAUCUAUAUCACUGAAGUCCCCACUGGUUCCUUCUCCCACUCACACUCCGGUAGGCAGCUCCCCAAGAUCCAGUCUGGACACUGUUUCCCUAGACCACCACUCUGCUUUUGGCAGCAGCAGUAACCAAAGGGUUAUGCCCUGGCAAGGCCCUUACCAUGCGGUAUAUAACUGUAGUCAGGAGCUGUGAGGUCUUGGCGUGACCAAGAGUGAUGUGAGAAAGCAUGCUGUUGUGUAAGAUCUCCCAGACCUGCGCACACAAUCGAUCAAAUUCAAGAAGAAGCGCUUCCUCUGCUUCAAGUAUGUCAGCAGACUGCAAAGGUGUACAACACAGCCUAUGCCCGCAGGAACCUGGCAGUAGUGAACCCAACAGUCAGCUGAGUAUUCUGUCAGCGAGUAGUCAAGUUUUGUGCCCAAAUUGCGUAGUAAGUACCUUAAGUAUUUGGCUUAAUAAUAUGAUUUUUGAAGGAGCUCCUGCCACAUGCGACUGACUUGGUUGGCUGUCGGGCUCCGAAUACAAGUGUUUUUUUAACCCCUGUGGUGACUUUCCGUAUAUAAGACGACCCCCAAUUUUAGAGAAAAAAAUAGUCUUAUACAUGUAAAAAUAUGGUACAUUUCUUUCUUUCAAAACUGCUUGAAUUCUGUGAGAAUUCAACAAACAAGUGUAGUGUUUUUGAAUAACCUUCAAAGGUGGAAAUAUAUGUGUAAAUAAAUACCACCCCUCAUACAAAUCGAUAUCUCAGAUUGUAUACUUUUAGAAAAAAACAAAAAACUUAUAGUGUUAAACUGCUGAUACACUGCAUACAGGGGGAUAGUCGACAACCUACUCACACAUCCGAGUGCUCUCUGGACUCUCAGUCUUUUGCACUUUUUCAAAGAAAAGAGGAAGCAUGAAAAGAACAGUUUCUAAUGUAGAUAAACUUUUCAAAAAUAUUGCAAAUAUAGAUAAGAAAACAAACUCACAUAUUAUGGAGCAUUUAAAUGCCGACCCAAACAAAGGUGAUAUGUGUACAUAUUGGUGACACUCUCAAUACUCAUGGGAAGCAUAUGUAUUUGUGUCCACUCACUAAUAUUCGAUGAUUUACAAAAAUAAAAGCAGAGUCCUUAAAGCUUACUUCAUGUGCCAGUUAUCACUUCAAUGCUUUACAUUUAAAAGUCCUGUUUUUCUCUCCAGGAUAUCCUUCAGUCGCAGCCCUUGGCUCAGUGCUACACAUGGGACCCCAAUCACAUGAAUUUUGCCCUGUCCGGGGCUUCCUCAGAUGAUUUCUGUCUUCUCUCUCAAUCACCAUUUAAGAUGCAAUUUUGGUGCCAUCUCUUGUUCCUCAGUUGGUCAAUCUCAAUAAUAAGGGUUUGUAGUGGAAGUCUGAUUGUCAAUUACAAUUAAUAAAGUAUUUUCAUUGCAACUUGCAGUCUGCAGUAAAUGGAAAUAAAAUGUAUACAAGAAUAUACAGGGAGUGCAGAAUUAUUAGGCAAGUUGUAUUUUUGAGGAUUAAUUUUAUUAUUGAACAACAACCAUGUUCU
Molecule: long non-coding RNA, 1914 nt
Filed under: Pelobates cultripes (western spadefoot toad)
Lineage: Eukaryota; Metazoa; Chordata; Amphibia; Anura; Pelobatidae
Source: RNAcentral